This 110-nucleotide non-coding RNA is filed under the name Comamonas kerstersii. RNAcentral describes it as "Glycine riboswitch". It matches the Rfam family "Glycine riboswitch aptamer", at positions 11 to 90 of the family's 94-position model. From Rfam's summary of the family: This family represents the bacterial glycine riboswitch. The record is from RNAcentral. Lineage: Bacteria; Pseudomonadati; Pseudomonadota; Betaproteobacteria; Burkholderiales; Comamonadaceae.
CUGGAGAGCAGCCGGGGUCAGCACUGACCAGCCGGUUCACCGAAGGGGCAAGCGCACCCAUGCCGAAACAGGGGUUGCGCAAAAACUCUCAGGUAAAAGGACAGCGGGAG